GAUGAACGCUAGCGACAGGCCUAACACAUGCAAGUCGAGGGGCAGCACAUGAGUAGCAAUACGAUGGUGGCGACCGGCGCACGGGUGAGUAUCGCGUAUGCAACCUACCUUCCACAGGGGGAUAGCCUUCCGAAAGGGAGAUUAAUACCGAAUAAAACAGGGGCCCCGCAGGGGGAUAUUUGUUAACGAUUUAUCGGUGGGAGAUGGGCAUGCGUUCCAUUAGCUAGUUGGCGGGGUAAUGGCCCACCAAGGCAUCGAUGGAGAGGGGAACUGAGAGGUUUAUCCCCCACACUGGAACUGAGACACGGUCCAGACUCCUACGGGAGGCAGCAGUGAGGAAUAUUGGUCAAUGGGCGGGAGCCUGAACCAGCCAAGUCGCGUGAAGGAAGACGGUUCUAUGGAUUGUAAACUUCUUUUGCACUGGGGUAAAACGGGGGACGUGUCCCCCCUUGCAAGUACAGUGCGAAUAAGCAUCGGCUAACUCCGUGCCAGCAGCCGCCGUAA
This 504-nucleotide ribosomal RNA is filed under the name uncultured bacterium. RNAcentral describes it as "partial 16S ribosomal RNA". It matches the Rfam family "Bacterial small subunit ribosomal RNA", at positions 28 to 523 of the family's 1533-position model. The record is from RNAcentral.